This is a long non-coding RNA of Mobula hypostoma (lesser devil ray), 969 nucleotides long. RefSeq lists it as uncharacterized. The record is from RefSeq and is a predicted model, not a curated record. The transcript is spliced from 3 exons. NCBI's taxonomy places the organism in Eukaryota, Metazoa, Chordata, Chondrichthyes, Myliobatiformes, Myliobatidae.
UUUAAAUGUUCAGAAGAACAUACUUGUAAAUCCUCUGAAGUCCCUUGUUUUGAUCAGAUUCUCAAAGUUUGGAGUUUGAACAUUGUGGUUAUUCACAUCUAUGGCAAUUUUGCUUUUCAUCUUUUUCACAGCUGCUUCUCAGAUAGAGGAUUCAGUGAUAUCACAGUGGUGGUUUGCCAUUUCAGCGUGAGUGUUGGGAGGCUGUUCAAUCUGAGUUCAUCCGAUUAGUAAUUGGCUGCAGGAUUCCUGACCAGCUAGUUUCCAUUCAUGAACCUAGGUCACUGUCACCAACUGCAAGGGAAGCUGCUCACAAGAGAUCACCAGCUCUUAACCCACCAUGGAUGAAAAGCAUGCAGGGAAGCCAGCUGGAUUCGAACUCGGGACCUCCCGCCCCGCAGACCAGCACUGAUGCCACUAUGCCACCAGCCAGGUCUUUACCAGGGGUUCUUUUGAAGACCUGGAGUUACACGCAGGCUUCGGUUCUUUGCGGGAAUGGGACCCAUUCUUGAGGUUCCACAACCGUCAGUUGUUUGACAUGCCAAGGGUUUGGCCUGAGAGUCUCGAUCCUGUUCGGAAGCCUAAGAUCUUGGGGCUCUGGAGAUGGGCGGAUCGAGGGUCGGUGUCGCGGCAGGAGACUCAUGUGUCAUUGGGAGGCUGGAAAAUCUUUUGCUGUGGGCCUGAAGACCCGAGGUCUUUGCGAUCUUCAGACACAGAGCUCAAAAAAAGCGAUGAACGGACUUUUCAUAUCAUAAACCAGCCAGUUGUUGUUAUGUCUCCCGCUCACUGUGAAAAUGGGGGACAUCGCCCUCUCCCUUGCCAGGGAGAUAGAGAACCUGUGGUUUGUCAAAUGUCGGAUGAAGUGCGAAGCCUUUGGGGUAACUUUGGUCUGUGUAUUUGCUAUCGCUUUGCUCAUGCUUGUGCUCAGUAGCGGGUGUGCUUUUUGUUUUACCGGUGGGGGGAGGGGGAUUG